Molecule: ribosomal RNA, 396 nt
Filed under: uncultured bacterium
Lineage: Bacteria
Description: bacterial SSU rRNA
Rfam family: Bacterial small subunit ribosomal RNA
Source: RNAcentral
UCUUGCGCAAUGGGCGAAAGCCUGACGCAGCCAUGCCGCGUGAAUGAUGAAGGUCUUAGGAUUGUAAAAUUCUUUCACCGGGGACGAUAAUGACGGUACCCGGAGAAGAAGCCCCGGCUAACUUCGUGCCAGCAGCCGCGGUAAUACGAAGGGGGCUAGCGUUGCUCGGAAUUACUGGGCGUAAAGGGCGCGUAGGCGGAUCGUUAAGUCAGGGGUGAAAUCCCGGGGCUCAACCUCGGAACUGCCCUUGAUACUGGCGAUCUUGAGUAUGAGAGAGGUAUGUGGAACUCCGAGUGUAGAGGUGAAAUUCGUAGAUAUUCGGAAGAACACCAGUGGCGAAGGCGACAUACUGGCUCAUUACUGACGCUGAGGCGCGAAAGCGUGGGGAGCAAACAG